RNAcentral lists this ribosomal RNA (310 nucleotides) under uncultured bacterium. RNAcentral describes it as "partial 16S ribosomal RNA". It matches the Rfam family "Bacterial small subunit ribosomal RNA", at positions 503 to 807 of the family's 1533-position model. The record is from RNAcentral.
AAGAGACAGCAGUCGCCACGGGAAUACGAAGGGGGCUAGCGUUGCUCGGAAUGACUGGGCGUAAAGGGCGCGUAGGCGGUUUUGACAGUCAGAUGUGAAAUUCCUGGGCUUAACCUGGGGGCUGCAUUUGAGACGUCAAGACUAGAGUGUGAGAGAGGGUUGUGGAAUUCCCAGUGUAGAGGUGAAAUUCGUAGAUAUUGGGAAGAACACCGGUGGCGAAGGCGGCAACCUGGCUCAUUACUGACGCUGAGGCGCGAAAGCGUGGGGAGCAAACAGGAUUAGAUACCCGAGUAGUCCCUGUCUCUUAUAC